This 292-nucleotide ribosomal RNA is filed under the name uncultured Bacteroidota bacterium. RNAcentral's name for it is "uncultured Bacteroidetes bacterium partial 16S ribosomal RNA". The record is from RNAcentral. Lineage: Bacteria; Pseudomonadati; Bacteroidota.
GGACUACACGGGUAUCUAAUCCUGUUCGCUCCCCACGCUUUCGUCCCUCAGCGUCAAUGUACUGAUAGUAACCUGCCUUCGCAAUUGGUAUUCCAUGUAAUAUCUAAGCAUUUCACCGCUACACUACAUAUUCUAGUUACUUCCCAGUAAUUCAAGUCUAACAGUAUCAAUGGCAGUUCCAUCGUUAAGCGAUGGGCUUUCACCACUGACUUAUUAGACCGCCUACGGACCCUUUAAACCCAAUGAUUCCGGAUAACGCUUGGAUCCUCCGUAUUACCGCGGCUGCUGGCAC